GGGUAGUUUGACUGGGGCGGUCUCCUCCUAAAGAGUAACGGAGGAGCACGAAGGUUGGCUAAUCCUGGUCGGACAUCAGGAGGUUAGUGCAAUGGCAUAAGCCAGCUUGACUGCGAGCGUGACGGCGCGAGCAGGUGCGAAAGCAGGUCAUAGUGAUCCGGUGGUUCUGAAUGGAAGGGCCAUCGCUCAACGGAUAAAAGGUACUCCGGGGAUAACAGGCUGAUACCGCCCAAGAGUUCAUAUCGACGGCGGUGUUUGGCACCUCGAUGUCGGCUCAUCACAUCCUGGGGCUGAAGUAGGUCCCAAGGGUAUGGCUGUUCGCCAUUUAAAGUGGUACGCGAGCUGGGUUUAGAACGUCGUGAGACAGUUCGGUCCCUAUCUGCCGUGGGCGCUGGAAGAUUGAGGGGGGCUGCUCCUAGUACGAGAGGACCGGAGUGGACGCAUCACUGGUGUUCGGGUUGUCAUGCCAAUGGCACUGCCCGGUAGCUACAUGCGGAAGAGAUAAGUGCUGAAAGCAUCUAAGCACGAAACUUGCCCCGAGAUGAAUCUUCCCUGAGCCUUUAAGGCUCCUGAAGGAACGUUGAAGACGACGACGUUGAUAGGCCGGGUGUGUAAGCGCAGCGAUGCGUUGAGCUAACCGGUACUAAUGAACCGUGAGGCUUAACCUU
Molecule: ribosomal RNA, 668 nt
Filed under: Salmonella enterica
Lineage: Bacteria; Pseudomonadati; Pseudomonadota; Gammaproteobacteria; Enterobacterales; Enterobacteriaceae
Also listed under: 12 other names
Description: partial 23S ribosomal RNA
Rfam family: Bacterial large subunit ribosomal RNA
Source: RNAcentral